UCUAUACAAUGUCUUGCACCGCCCCUGCAUACUACUGUGACCCAGGAGGAACCGGGGGAGGGCAAUGAAAAACGGGAGUCUCCCAGGUGUGUGGUACCAUUCAUGAGAUGUCUGGAUUGAGCAAUUUUCUCCUGACCUUCUGCAUUUUAGGAUACCUUUUCUGCAGUUCCAACACUUGGUAUGUAAAGAUGCCAAGCAACAUCAAAGGAUUGCUGGGUUCCUGCCUUGUCAUCCCUUGUAGUUUUGGCUACUAUCAGUAUCCACCUCAAAAUCCAGAACGUGUGGUUUGGUACCAGUAUGUGAGAAGUUGAUAUCCAUUAGUACAUGACGACUGGUAUCCGGACUAUGUCAUUUCCAUUUUUAAAGGAAAAACACGUGUAUUGACUUCCACAGACAGCAUGACAUGCAGUCUUCAAAUCUCCCCAGUGAGCUGGUCUCACCACAGACUGAAGAUUUACCCCUGGGUAGAUCCAGAGAAUGUUGGGACAAGCACCUACCGAUUCUUUGAUACAACUGUAAUAAUGUAGUGGGAACAGCAGAGAAACCGGAUAUUACGACCUUUGGAAACAUGAUUGUUGGACAGUGCGUGACAGUGCUAUGCACUGUUUUUCAUACCUGUCCCACUACAGCACCCACUCUGAGUCUUAACAUCCCACUGCAAGACGACAAAAUAACUCAUACCCGGAACAUAGAUGGCACAUCCAACACAUCCUUGACGACCACAUUAUGCAUUGAGAACGAACACCAAAAUGUUGAGUGCUCUGUCAAACACAGUGGUGGUCUCAGUGCAACAGCCUCUAAAACCUUAACUGCAGAAUGCACCAUUUCAUCCUUGACUAUCCAGUCUACAUCAGAUGAGUUUCUUGAGGGACAGGCACAAGAAGUAACCUGCACUGCCUUGUACACAUGCCCAAAACAUUUACCAACUCUCACAUGGAACUAUGGUAGCAUGCAAGCUAUCACUGAAUCUGGCAAGAUUGGACAUGCUCAGUGGAGGACUGUCUCUACACUGACAUUCAAAGCAACAGCCAAUGAUCAUGGAAAACCUCUGACAUGCUUUGCACUAUUCACCGGGGCUCACAGGCAGAAAGUGAACAUUACCAUAGGGGUAAAGAGUCCUUAGAAAUAAUGAGAUUCUUUAUUUAACAACUUAACCUUUUUGUCUUAAAGCCUGUAUAGCUUUUCACAGACAUUACCAACACAUUCUGCAACAUAACUGAAAUGUAUUUUGAUAAAAUGUAAUUUACUCGUCACAUUUAGCCAAUUCUGUUAGUGCUGCAGUUUCUUCUUUAAGUUUGUCUUUUUCUAUGUUCUUUAAAUGAACAAAUAAAAUGAAAAAUAUAAUAAUAA
Micropterus salmoides (largemouth bass) is the source of this 1350-nucleotide long non-coding RNA. RefSeq lists it as uncharacterized. The record is from RefSeq and is a predicted model, not a curated record. Lineage: Eukaryota; Metazoa; Chordata; Actinopteri; Centrarchiformes; Centrarchidae. The transcript is spliced from 5 exons.